Trachemys scripta elegans is the source of this 1622-nucleotide long non-coding RNA. RefSeq lists it as uncharacterized. NCBI's taxonomy places the organism in Eukaryota, Metazoa, Chordata, Testudines, Emydidae. The record is from RefSeq and is a predicted model, not a curated record. The transcript is spliced from 3 exons.
UCAGAUCCAGACUAACACGGCUAUCCCUCUGAUACUUGACACCUCAAAGAGUGCAACUGAUGAUGAGCUGCAGGUGGAGGGGUCUCACAGUUUCCUGCUCUGGGUUGAGGAAGUCAAGCAGGUCUCUCUCUGGGUUCAGUAAUGAUACAAGGUUUAUUUAUUUACCAUCAGUAGGUGAUGUCAUUUGUUUGUGUUUGAUUCAUUUAUCCUUUGUUUCUCACUGCUAGGAGGCAAAGAACAAAGAAACUUACAUACACAGACGUUGUUGCUCCAACAUUAUGGAAAGGGAGAGACUGGAUCUGAAACCUGAUAGUGGCAGAUAGUCUAGGCAUUAUGGUAACAAGAGGCUUCUCAGGCUGGCACCAAUACCCCUCAUCCCUGGCACCAUCUACAUCCCGCGUUUUGGCAAAGACGACUUCAGUACCUAAGUACCCCUCAGAGACCAUGCCAACUCCAUCUUGCUCUUUGUUUCCAGUAAUAGAAAAUUUCCCAGUACUGGAUCCUUUGGUGAGACAUACUACUUCUAGGCAUGGGUGGAUACUUUUCUGUCCCAGUGAAGGUACUUGAUUGAUUUCCAGAUGGAGCUGCAGGAGGAAGGAGAGGAGUGCCCUGGCAUUGCUCACUCCCACUGGAAGAUGCUGCUCGAGAGCUGUUAUUCCAAGUGACUGGAGGGAAAUCUGCAGCAUAUGCAGCAGAAGUAUUUCAACAAAUAGUGACCAAACAGCACAUUCAUGAGUGGAGUGGAAUAGUCUGCUAUACAGGGGGUCUGGAAAAUAUGUUCUUCCCCAUGAUAUGACAAUCUGGAGUUCCUGCCUCAGGAGAAGUUUGCAGCUAUCAGCAGCCAGGAUUGGAUCUUAAUCCAUGAUUGAAUUAACAUGAUGCUGUGUUAGCACACACAGCUUACCCUGUUACUGCUGCAUGCAAAACUCUGAAAUCUCCAGCUUUCAUACACCUCUACAUGGACUACCUCUAACUAAAAUGGACUACAUUUGGAAACAGAACAGUUUCCCAAACUCACACUACAUUUGCUGUUCACUGGCAGCUACCUAGACACAGGAGGAAUGAUUGCAGGGUGGCAAAUUCCCAACUACUCAAAGGAAAACAAGAACACCCAUAGCAAAUUUCUUUAUCUUAACUGAUAAAAUAACUGUUACAGCUGUAUUCUAAAGUUUGAAAUGCAAAUUCAUUAUUUUUAAGUUCAAAUGAUGUGGGGUAGGGAAACACACCUAGAUGCUGUAAACAAAACAAAAAAAAAUUGCCAUUAUUGGCCAAAUGCUGUUAGCUGGGAUUUACCAGUUUUGCCUUGUCACUUAACCAGAAAUUCCUCCCAUUACUGUGAUAGUAAACUUAAUUUGAAUCAUGCACUUACCAGGCUCUGGGGCAGCUUCUCUCUUCUGCAUUCUCAGUAGACUUGGCCCCAGGCUGUUUCUUGGGUGCUGGAGAGGGCUGAAAUAGCUCCUCUGAGCAGAGACUGAGAUUUUCCAGUUCAACCUGCUCCACUGCCUGCUGUGGGACUGGUAUCAUUACAAUAGUCACUUCACAAUCUUGGCUGGGAGCAGUCCCCAGGGUGAAGAUGUGUAUUCGGUGGUCAGCAGUGUUCGAUCCUGGCUCAUCAGGUCAUC